GAUGAACGCUGGCGGCGUGCCUAAUACAUGCAAGUCGAGCGAACAGAUGAGGAGCUUGCUCCUCUGACGUUAGCGGCGGACGGGUGAGUAACACGUGGAUAACCUACCUAUAAGACUGGGAUAACUUCGGGAAACCGGAGCUAAUACCGGAUAAUAUAUUGAACCGCAUGGUUCAAUAGUGAAAGACGGUUUUGCUGUCACUUAUAGAUGGAUCCGCGCCGCAUUAGCUAGUUGGUAAGGUAACGGCUUACCAAGGCGACGAUGCGUAGCCGACCUGAGAGGGUGAUCGGCCACACUGGAACUGAGACACGGUCCAGACCCCUACGGGAGGCAGCAGUAGGGAAUCUUCCGCAAUGGGCGAAAGCCUGACGGAGCAACGCCGCGUGAGUGAUGAAGGUCUUCGGAUCGUAAAACUCUGUUAUUAGGGAAGAACAAAUGUGUAAGUAACUAUGCACGUCUUGACGGUACCUAAUCAGAAAGCCACGGCUAACUACGUG
This 497-nucleotide ribosomal RNA is filed under the name uncultured bacterium. RNAcentral describes it as "partial 16S ribosomal RNA". It matches the Rfam family "Bacterial small subunit ribosomal RNA", at positions 28 to 507 of the family's 1533-position model. The record is from RNAcentral.